This 200-nucleotide ribosomal RNA is filed under the name uncultured bacterium. RNAcentral describes it as "partial 16S ribosomal RNA". It matches the Rfam family "Bacterial small subunit ribosomal RNA", at positions 130 to 334 of the family's 1533-position model. The record is from RNAcentral.
CCGAUGAGGGGGAUAACUACUGGAAACGGUAGCUAAUACCGCAUAACGUCGCAAGACCAAAGAGGGGGACCUUCGGGCCUCUUGCCAUCGGAUGUGCCCAGAUGGGAUUAGCUAUAGGUGGGGUAACGGCUCACCUAGGCGACGAUCCCUAGCUGGUCUGAGAGGAUGACCAGCCACACUGGAACUGAGACACGGUCCAG